RNAcentral lists this unclassified non-coding RNA (270 nucleotides) under plant metagenome. RNAcentral describes it as "partial contains small subunit ribosomal RNA and internal transcribed spacer 1". The stretch from base 1 to 46 matches the Rfam family "Eukaryotic small subunit ribosomal RNA", at positions 1786 to 1831 of the family's 1831-position model. The record is from RNAcentral.
AAGUCGUAACAAGGUUUCCGUAGGUGAACCUGCGGAAGGACCAUUAUCGUAACAAAAUGUGUUGAGGCAUGCAACGGCUGUCGCUGACCAAAAGUCGUGCACGCCAGGGUGUGUCCUCUCACAUAAAAUCCAUCUCACCCUUUUGUGCACCACCGCGUGGGCACCCUUCGGGAUCGAACAGAUCCAGGAGGGGGCUUGCGUUUUCACACAAACCCCUUUUUGAAAAGUGUAGAAUGACCCCACUUUUGCGAUAACACGCAAUCAAUACAA